UACUUUUAAUUCGAACAAGGGCAUUACAGUCAAUAUGUUUUGGAUAAAAACUGCAAGCCCUAAAAUCACUCCUCAUUAACAGCUCACACGUUCCUCUCUCUCUCUCUCUCUCUCUCUCUCUCUCUUGUUUCUCAACCUCUCGGUCAUCUCUCACCUUCUCUGCAAAUCCUUCGUCUCUUUCUUCUUCGGUGGCGUCAUGGCAGCGGAUGAGGGGAUUGGCUGGGUGGAUGUCCCAAUCGCAAGCGGCGUAGAUAGAGACGACGUAAAAGGCCGCAGAUUAUCCAAUCACUUCUCUCUUCCCCUGCCUUCUGUUCUUGGUUCACGACGGUUGUCGACAGGAGGGCGCGCGUCGCUACGAUCUGUGGUGCUGUUCUGCGCAGCGGCAAUGGGCGUGGUGGCGGUGGCAUUCACCACCACGAUGCGGGAGAGGUAGGGGCGCUCGUUUACGGACAGCGGCGAGAUCCUGAAGUUGACGACACGUGAGCAGGGUUGGGCGUGAGGGUGAACCUGGGGUCUAUCUGAUGAAUGGCCGAUGCUGCUGGCAGAGCGCGGAGAAUACGCUAGGUGAGGGGCGUGGUAGACGAGGAUCGGGGCCAAUCGAAAAAUUGCAUAAUUCUCGAUCCGCCAUGAAAUUCGAGAAUGAGGAAUUAUGGCGAUAGUAGGAGAGGAGGAAACACGCAUUUCCUUUCUGUUUUUUCUAUUUUGUUGUUCAGUUAAUUUGUAAACAAUUUUUCUAUAGUUGUUAGAGACGAGUGAAGAGAUUUUUCAAAAUCGUGAUUUUUAUUUGACUGUUCAUUUAGAAAUUGUAUUGUGUUCAUUGAAGAAAUUAUUUUCUAUUCAUUUAUAAAUUGUGUUUUGUUCAUUUAUAAGUUGUGUUAUGCUCAUUGAAAAUUAGAUUGCAUGUU
Molecule: long non-coding RNA, 905 nt
Organism: Salvia miltiorrhiza (redroot sage)
Lineage: Eukaryota; Viridiplantae; Streptophyta; Magnoliopsida; Lamiales; Lamiaceae
Exons: 2
Source: RefSeq, a predicted model, not a curated record